GCUCAGGAUGAACGCUGGCGGCGUGCUUAACACAUGCAAGUCGAACGAAGCUGCUUAACUGAUCUUCUUCGGAAUUGACGUUUUGUAGACUGAGUGGCGGACGGGUGAGUAACGCGUGGGUAACCUGCCCUGUACAGGGGGAUAACAGUCAGAAAUGACUGCUAAUACCGCAUAAGACCACAGCACCGCAUGGUGCAGGGGUAAAAACUCCGGUGGUACAGGAUGGACCCGCGUCUGAUUAGCUGGUUGGUGAGGUAACGGCUCACCAAGGCGACGAUCAGUAGCCGGCUUGAGAGAGUGAACGGCCACAUUGGGACUGAGACACGGCCCAAACUCCUACGGGAGGCAGCAGUGGGGAAUAUUGCACAAUGGGGGAAACCCUGAUGCAGCGACGCCGCGUGAAGGAAGAAGUAUCUCGGUAUGUAAACUUCUAUCAGCAGGGAAGAUAGUGACGGUACCUGACUAAGAAGCCCCGGCUAACUACGUGCCAGCAGCCGCGGUAAUACGUAGGGGGCAAGCGUUAUCCGGAUUUACUGGGUGUAAAGGGAGCGUAGACGGUGUGGCAAGUCUGAUGUGAAAUGCAUGGGCUCAACCUGUGGACUGCAUUGGGAAACUGUUCAUACUUGAGUGCCGGAGGGGUAAGCGGAAUUCCUUGUGUAGCGGUGAAAUGCGUAGAUAUAUGGAGGAACACCAGUGGCGAAGGCGACGAUCUGGCGCAUAACUGACGCUCAGUCCCGAAAGCGUGGGGAGCAAAUAGGAUUAGAUACCCUAGUAGUCCACGCCGUAAACGAUGAGUACUAAGUGUUGGGGGUCAAACCUCAGUGCUGCAGUUAACGCAAUAAGUACUCCGCCUGAGUAGUACGUUCGCAAGAAUGAAACUCAAAGGAAUUGACGGGGGCCCGCACAAGCGGUGGAGCAUGUGGUUUAAUUCGAAGCAACGCGAAGAACCUUACCAGGUCUUGACAUCGAUCUAAAGGCUCCAGAGAUGGAGAGAUAGCUAUAGAGAAGACAGGUGGUGCAUGGUUGUCGUCAGCUCGUGUCGUGAGAUGUUGGGUUAAGUCCCGCAACGAGCGCAACCCCUGUUGCCAGUUGCCAGCAUUAAGUUGGGGACUCUGGCGAGACUGCCGGUGACAAGCCGGAGGAAGGCGGGGAUGACGUCAAAUCAUCAUGCCCCUUAUGACCUGGGCUACACACGUGCUACAAUGGACAGAGCAGAGGGAAGCGAAGCCGCGAGGUGGAGCGAAACCCAUAAAACUGUUCUCAGUUCGGACUGCAGUCUGCAACUCGACUGCACGAAGAUGGAAUCGCAAGUAAUCGCGAAUUAGCAUGUCGCGGUGAAUACGUU
Molecule: ribosomal RNA, 1345 nt
Filed under: uncultured bacterium
Lineage: Bacteria
Description: bacterial SSU rRNA
Rfam family: Bacterial small subunit ribosomal RNA
Source: RNAcentral